RNAcentral lists this ribosomal RNA (254 nucleotides) under uncultured bacterium. RNAcentral describes it as "partial 16S ribosomal RNA". It matches the Rfam family "Bacterial small subunit ribosomal RNA", at positions 524 to 776 of the family's 1533-position model. The record is from RNAcentral.
UACGGAGGGGGCUAGCGUUGUUCGGAAUUACUGGGCGUAAAGCGCACGUAGGCGGCUUUUGUAAGUUAGAGGUGAAAGCCCAGGGCUCAACCCUGGAAUUGCCUUUAAGACUGCAUCGCUAGAAUUGUGGAGAGGUAAGUGGAAUUCCGAGUGUAGAGGUGAAAUUCGUAGAUAUUCGGAAGAACACCAGUGGCGAAGGCGACUUACUGGACACAUAUUGACGCUGAGGUGCGAAAGCGUGGGGAGCAAACAGG